RNAcentral lists this ribosomal RNA (468 nucleotides) under uncultured bacterium. RNAcentral describes it as "partial 16S ribosomal RNA". It matches the Rfam family "Bacterial small subunit ribosomal RNA", at positions 28 to 507 of the family's 1533-position model. The record is from RNAcentral.
GACGAACGCUGGCGGCGUGCUUAACACAUGCAAGUCGAACGGUGAAGCUCCAGCUUGCUGGAGUGGAUCAGUGGCGAACGGGUGAGUAACACGUGAGCAACCUGCCCCUGACUCUGGAAUAAGCGCUGGAAACGGCGUCUAAUACUGGAUACGAGAAGGGUCCGCAUGGGCACUUUCUGGAAAGUUUUUCGGUUGGGGAUGGGCUCGCGGCCUAUCAGCUUGUUGGUGAGGUAAUGGCUCACCAAGGCGACGACGGGUAGCCGGCCUGAGAGGGCGACCGGCCACACUGGGACUGAGACACGGCCCAGACUCCUACGGGAGGCAGCAGUGGGGAAUAUUGCACAAUGGACGAAAGCCUGAUGCAGCGACACCGCGUGAGGGAUGACGGCCUUCGGGUUGUAAACCUCUUUCAGCAGGGAAGAAGCGAAAGUGACGGUACCUGCAGAAGAAGCACCGGCUAACUACGUG